Molecule: long non-coding RNA, 139 nt
Organism: Perognathus longimembris pacificus (Pacific pocket mouse)
Lineage: Eukaryota; Metazoa; Chordata; Mammalia; Rodentia; Heteromyidae
Exons: 3
Source: RefSeq, a predicted model, not a curated record
GUGUGUACCAGUAUAUAGGAGGCUGAUUCCUAAGAAUCACUACUCAAAGCCAACCUGGACAGGAAAGUCCAUGAGACUCAUUUUCAAGUAACCACCUAAAAUGAAGCUGUAGCUCCAGUUUUUAAGAAUGCCUUAAGCA